This 139-nucleotide small RNA is filed under the name Devosia equisanguinis. RNAcentral describes it as "Alphaproteobacterial sRNA BjrC1505". It matches the Rfam family "Alphaproteobacterial sRNA BjrC1505". The record is from Rfam by way of RNAcentral. Lineage: Bacteria; Pseudomonadati; Pseudomonadota; Alphaproteobacteria; Hyphomicrobiales; Devosiaceae.
CUUCACGUUAAGCUCCAAUUAAGCUUUUCGCGGUAAGGUCAUGGUAUUCAGAUUUUCUGAAUUUUGCAGAGUGGUUUCUCCCUCUGUUUGACGCCUCCCUGUUAACUUCGAGAGCCGUAAAUUUUGCGGCUCUUUUUCU